AUACGUAGGUGGCAAGCGUUAUCCGGAUUUACUGGGCGUAAAGGGCGUGUAGGCGGUCUUGCAAGUCUGAAGUGAAAUUCCUGAGCUCAACUCGGGCGCUGCUUCUGAAACUGCAGGACUUGAGUGCUGGAGGGGAUAGCGGAAUUCCUAGUGGAGCGGUAAAAUGACCAGAUAUUAGGAAGAACACCGGUGGCGAAGGCGGCUAUCUGGACAGUAACUGACGCUGAGGCGCGAAAGCGUGGGGAGCAAACAGGAUUAGAUACCCUGGUAGUCCGUGCCGUAAACGAUGAAUACUAGGUGUAGGGGGUAUCGACUCCCUCUGUGCCGCAGUUAACACAUUAAGUAUUCCACCUGGGGAGUACGGCCGCAAGGUUGAAACUUAAAGGAAUUGACGGGG
RNAcentral lists this ribosomal RNA (397 nucleotides) under uncultured bacterium. RNAcentral's name for it is "partial 16S ribosomal RNA". It matches the Rfam family "Bacterial small subunit ribosomal RNA", at positions 523 to 918 of the family's 1533-position model. The record is from RNAcentral.